RNAcentral lists this ribosomal RNA (474 nucleotides) under uncultured bacterium. RNAcentral's name for it is "SSU rRNA". It matches the Rfam family "Bacterial small subunit ribosomal RNA", at positions 26 to 518 of the family's 1533-position model. The record is from RNAcentral.
AGGACGAACGCUGGCGGCGUGCUUAACACAUGCAAGUCGAACGGAAAGGCCCUUCGGGGUACUCGAGUGGCGAACGGGUGAGUAACACGUGAGCAAUCUGCCCCUAGCUCUGGGAUAGCUCCGGGAAACCGGGAUUAAUACCAGAUAUUACUACGGCCGACAUCAGCUGUGGUGGAAAGAAUUUCGGCUAGGGAUGAGCUCGCGGCCUAUCAGCUUGUUGGUGGGGUAAAGGCCCACCAAGGCGACGACGGGUAGCCGGCCUGAGAGGGCGACCGGCCACACUGGGACUGAGACACGGCCCAGACUCCUACGGGAGGCAGCAGUGGGGAAUAUUGCGCAAUGGGCGAAAGCCUGACGCAGCGACGCCGCGUGCGGGAUGAAGGCCUUCGGGUUGUAAACCGCUUUCAGCAGGGACGAAGCGAAAGUGACGGUACCUGCAGAAGAAGCGCCGGCUAACUACGCGCCAGCAGCCGC